CGUCUUUUUUUUCCUAUUAAAGUAUGCCGUCUCGUUAUUCGUUUAGUAGCCGAAUCGUCGUUGGUGAAGACGGGUUAUUAAACUUAUAGGACACUAGACAUAAUGUGCAGUGACGUAGUCGUACAUAAAAGUGAGCACCUCCCUUCCGAAAAAAUUUUCUGAAUUCAAUAUUAGUUGCAGGUUCGUAAUCUCAGUUAUUACCACGAUUAUUUGUAUUUAUUUAUUUAUUUAUAUUGUCCGUGCGGAAAUGUGUUUUACAUGACAUAGACUUUCAACCUUUUAUUGUAAUUCGUACUAUGUUUUAGUUAUUUAACGAAACGAUA
This is a non-coding RNA of Cinara cedri, 323 nucleotides long. NCBI's taxonomy places the organism in Eukaryota, Metazoa, Arthropoda, Insecta, Hemiptera, Aphididae. The record is from the annotation of a GenBank genome assembly.